GAUCUAUCCAUGUCCAGGAUGAAGCUGCCGUAAGAGGUAGUGGAGGUCCGAACACACAUCCGUUGAAAAGGGUGGUGAUGAGGUGUGGAUAGGGGAGAAUUCCAAUCGAACCCGGAGAUAGCUGGUUCUCCUCGAAAUAGCUUUUAGGGGCUAGCCUUCAGUUAGUCUGCCGCAGGUAGAGCACUGAAUUUCCUAGGGGGCGUCAAAGCCUACCGAAGAAUAUCAAACUGCGAAUGGCGGACAGAUGAUGCUGGGGAGUCAGACUGCACGAGAUAAGUUGGGUGGUCAAAAGGGAAAGAGCCCAGACCUACAGCUAAGGUCCCAAAGUGCGUGUUAAGUGGAAAAGGAUGUGGGAUUUCGAAGACAACUAGGAUGUUGGCUCAGAAGCAGCCACACAUUAAAAGAGUGCGUAAUAGCUCACUAGUCGAGAGGUCCUGCGACCGAAAAUGUCUGGGGCC
This 458-nucleotide ribosomal RNA is filed under the name uncultured bacterium. Its description in RNAcentral is "bacterial LSU rRNA". It matches the Rfam family "Bacterial large subunit ribosomal RNA", at positions 727 to 1181 of the family's 2925-position model. The record is from RNAcentral.